AUGGAAAGGAAAAGGUUUGUGCAGAUGCUUUUGCUGGAUGGGUGCUUCAUACUUGUGAGUAUUGAUGAAAAUGUUGGCACCGGGGUAUCACAUUCCAGAAUUUUGAACCAGGGACCUAACCAAACAGAAGUCGAUGGAAACGUGACGGUAGAAGAGCUGGAACAGAUUAAUGUGGAAAUUAUUCAGGAAACAGGAAGAAAUACCAGAGAGGAGGAUGCAAACCAGCGGACAAGCAUUGGGAACAGUUACGGUGCUGGGGAUUGGUUGAGUGGUCCUGCAUGGCAUGACAUGCUCUGUUUGCUGGAGAACCAGAUACCCUUUUUCGUUAUGGAGAGUAUUUACGAAUUAGUAUCAGAGGUCCUCUUGCGUCAUUAUCCAAUAGCUAUACAAGAGAAUGAUAGAUCCAAACAUUUCCAUCAUCUGCUCCACCUAUGUCACACGUACUUGAGACCUAGUCAGAAAUUCGAUGAGGAGCUUCAGUAUCAGCAGAAGAGAAGUUAUUUUCACGGUCUUCUACGUCGAUGGAAUAUGUCAGGUAAAUCAGUUGACCCUGACAAAAACCUAGAGCUGAUGGAGUGCUUGGAAUCAGGUAAGCUUUGGAAGCGUUGGCGUCGAGCAGAAGAGUACCAUGAAGUGGGGGUUCAGUUCAUACGUAGGGAGUAUGACGGACAAAGUAGGCAUUCUCUGUUGGACAUAAGGUUCAUCAACGGAGUUAUGGAGAUUCCUUGUUUGCCAGUUGGUGAGUCCAGUGAGUCUCUUUUCAAGAACCUUUUAGCACUAGAGCAAACAGACCCCAGGUAUGGCAAUGACAUCAGUGCUUAUGUCACUUUCAUGUCUCAGGUCGUCGCUACGCCUGCUGAUGCCACACUAUUUGUUCAGAGAGGCAUCAUCGUGCAUAUGAUGGAUAGCGAUGAAGAGGUGUCAACUCUAUUCAGUAGACUCACCAAACAAGCGACAUUCGGGUUUGAUUUGAAAUACUACUUAAAAUAUAUAUGUUGGGCGUUGGAGGCCCACUACCAGAGUCGCCUGAAUAGAUGGAUAGCAUGGCUGUGGUUAAAUCACUUCCGAAACCCGUGGUUAGCUUUGGGUGCAUUAGCUGCUGCAGUAGUGCUUGCCUGCACCAUAAUCCAGACUAUAUAUACAGUUUUGCCCUAUGUCAAGCCUCCGUCA
RNAcentral lists this ribosomal RNA (1170 nucleotides) under Triticum aestivum (bread wheat). Its description in RNAcentral is "partial small subunit ribosomal RNA". Lineage: Eukaryota; Viridiplantae; Streptophyta; Magnoliopsida; Poales; Poaceae. The record is from RNAcentral.